Molecule: long non-coding RNA, 1325 nt
Filed under: Calidris pugnax (ruff)
Lineage: Eukaryota; Metazoa; Chordata; Aves; Charadriiformes; Scolopacidae
Description: lncRNA (ENSCPUG00000003203.1)
Source: RNAcentral
CCCACCAGUGCCAAUGGGGGCAGGAGUGGGGUGGCCCCUCAGGCAGCACCCAGGGGUGUGACCCCCCCUCCAUGGUGCCCCCCCCUUAGUGUCAUCCCCCAGGCCCUUGCUCUGCCCGGGGGGAGCCAGAAAGUGCCCCCCCCGCCUAUUUUUUGCCCCUUUUUUUACUGAUUUGCCAUUAAAACCCCAUCAGAAAAGUUCCUCCAAGUUUUUAUUCUGCCUCAGCCCCACAAGACAUUGCGGGGGGGGGUCACACUGCCCCCCCCAUGCCCCACAUAAACACCCCCUGACCCACAACAUACACACCCCCCAAUUCCCCCCCCAAGCUGGGGCUUCCAGCCCCAUCUGGACCCAGGGUGUGGGGCAGAGCUCGCUGUGGGGCUGAUCUGGAUCCCAGGCUGUGGGGCAGAGCUUGCCAUGGGGCAGAGCUCGCCGUGGGGCUGGUCCAGACCCAUAGGUGUGGGGCUGAGUUUGCUGUGGGGCUGAUCUGGAUCCCAGGGUGUGAGGCAGAGCUCGCUCUGGGGCUGACCCUGACCUGGAGGUGUGGGGCAGAACUUGCUGUGGGGCUCCCCCACCUCCACCAGGCUGGCUGUCGUUCCCCCCUCCGUGGCUACGAGUCCACUCGAGUCCCCUCGCCACCGUGGGGCUCGCCGUGGGUCUCCUCUCCGCAGCGGAAGCGCAGGAAGUCGGUGACGCUGAGGACCCCCCGGCGCCGCAGGAACUGGCCCACGCUCAGCUCGGGCUCCAGCAGGAAGCCCUGGGCCAGUAGCCGUGACUCCUCCUCGCCCCCCAACUCGUCCUGGGGGGUCCCCACUUCCCUGGGGGCCAGCCCCACCACGUGCUGGGCCACCUUCCGCCCCACAUCCUCCAAGGUGGCCUCCGGGGCUCGGGGUUCCGUCACCUCGCAAGCCACCAGGGCCCCGUAGGUGCCCAUGGCUACCGGGGCGGGGGGGGCCGCUAGCCCCCCGUGGCUGUAAACCCCGAUGAACCCCGAGGCCCGGGGCACCCGCAGCCACGCGGCGCGACGCAGGGCCAGCUUCUCCCCCAGCUUCCCUGGGGGCAAAAGGGGGGACAGGGACGGCGUUUGUCCCCUCCCGGAGCAGCCCCACCAGCCCCUCUCGUGCCCGUCGGUCCCGCAGGGUGACAGCGCGGCUCCAGCCCUGACGCUGCGCCUCCUCCUGCAGCCAGGCCUCUGCCUGCGGGGGGGCGGGACAAGGGGGGGACACACAAAAACAGGGGGGAGACAUAGAGGGGAGGGACACACACACACACACAUAAGGGGGGCAGGAGCUGGGGUCCCCUCAGCUGGGGCUGCAGAUAAAAAC